GACGAACGCUGGCGGCGUGCUUAACACAUGCAAGUCGAGCGGUAAGGCCCUUUCGGGGGUACGACGAGCGGCGAACGGGUGAGUAACACGUGGGUGACCUGCCCUCCAGCUCUGGGAUAAGCCUGGGAAACCGGGUCUAAUACCGGAUAUGACUCCAUGACGCAUGUUGUGGGGUGGAAAGCCUUGUGCGGCUGAGGAUGGGCCCGCGGCCUAUCAGCUUGUUGGUGGGGUGAUGGCCUACCAAGGCGACGACGGGUAGCCGGCCUGAGAGGGCGACCGGCCACACUGGGACUGAGACCCGGCCCAGACUCCUACGGGAGGCAGCAGUGGGGAAUCUUGCGCAAUGGGCGAAAGCCUGACGCAGCGACGCCGCGUGAGGGAUGACGG
RNAcentral lists this ribosomal RNA (387 nucleotides) under uncultured bacterium. RNAcentral describes it as "bacterial SSU rRNA". It matches the Rfam family "Bacterial small subunit ribosomal RNA", at positions 28 to 414 of the family's 1533-position model. The record is from RNAcentral.